This 600-nucleotide ribosomal RNA is filed under the name uncultured bacterium. RNAcentral's name for it is "bacterial SSU rRNA". It matches the Rfam family "Bacterial small subunit ribosomal RNA", at positions 878 to 1482 of the family's 1533-position model. The record is from RNAcentral.
GAGUACGGCCGCAAGGUUAAAACUCAAACGAAUUGACGGGGACCCGCACAAGCGGUGGAUGAUGUGGAUUAAUUCGAUGCAACGCGAAAAACCUUACCUACGCUUGACAUGCCAGGAAGUUUCCAGAGAUGGAUUCGUGCCCGAAAGGGAACCUGGACACAGGUGCUGCAUGGCUGUCGUCAGCUCGUGUCGUGAGAUGUUGGGUUAAGUCCCGCAACGAGCGCAACCCUUGUCAUUAGUUGCUACGAAAGGGCACUCUAAUGAGACUGCCGGUGACAAACCGGAGGAAGGUGGGGAUGACGUCAAGUCCUCAUGGCCCUUAUGUGUAGGGCUUCACACGUCAUACAAUGGUCGGUACAGAGGGUUGCCAACCCGCGAGGGGGAGUUAAUCCCAGAAAACCGAUCGUAGUCCGGAUUGCAGUNUGCAACUCGACUGCAUGAAGUCGGAAUCGUUAGUAAUCGCGGAUCAGCAUGUCGCGGUGAAUACGUUCCCGGGUCUUGUACACACCGCCCGUCACACCAUGGGAGUGGGUUUUGCCAGAAGUGGGUAGCUUAACCGCAAGGAGGGCGCUUACCACGGCAGGGCUCAUGACUGGGGUG